This 80-nucleotide transfer RNA is filed under the name Chlamydomonas reinhardtii. Its description in RNAcentral is "tRNA-Leu (TAG) (tRNA-Leu-TAG-1-1)". It matches the Rfam family "tRNA". Rfam says of the family: Transfer RNA (tRNA) molecules are approximately 80 nucleotides in length. Their secondary structure includes four short double-helical elements and three loops (D, anti-codon, and T loops). The record is from Rfam by way of RNAcentral. Lineage: Eukaryota; Viridiplantae; Chlorophyta; Chlorophyceae; Chlamydomonadales; Chlamydomonadaceae.
GGCGAAGUGGCCGAGUGGUCUAAGGCGCAGGAUUUAGGCUCCUGUCCGAAAGGGCGCAGGUUCAAACCCUGCCUUCGUCA